UCAAGAACAAUGCGCUGGAUGCCUAUUGGUUGAAAGCUCCGGCGCCUCAGGAUGAGUCUGCGGCCUAUCAGGUUGUAGUGAGUGUAACGGACUCACUAGCCGACGACGGGUACGGGCAGUGGGAGCUGUCGCCCGGAGAUGGAUUCUGAGACACGAAUCCAGGCCCUACGGGGCGCAGCAGGCGCGAAAACUUCGCAAUGCGGGAAACCGCGACGAGGGAACUCCAAGUGCCAUGCCAUUGGUAUGGCUGUUUUCUAGUCUAAAAAACUAGGAGAGUAAGGGCUGGGUAAGACUGGUGCCAGCCGCCGCGGUAAUACCAGCAGCUCAAGUGGUGAUCCUUAUUAUUGGGCCUAAAGCGUCCGUAGCCUGUCUAGUAAAUCCUUGGGUAAAUCGUACCGCUUAACGGUACGACUUCUGGGGAGACUGCUAGACUUGGGACUGGGAGAGGUCGGAGGUACUCCAGGGGUAGGGGUGAAAUCCUGUAAUCCUUGGGGGACCACCAGUGGCGAAGGCGUCCGACUAGAACGGAUCCGACGGUGAGGGACGAAGCCGUGGGGCACAAACCGGAUUAGAUACCCGGGUAGUCCACGGUGUAAACGCUGCGAGCUUGGUGUUGGGGGUCCUACGAGGGCGCCCAGUGCCGGAGAGAA
This 650-nucleotide ribosomal RNA is filed under the name uncultured archaeon. RNAcentral describes it as "bacterial SSU rRNA". It matches the Rfam family "Archaeal small subunit ribosomal RNA", at positions 155 to 810 of the family's 1478-position model. The record is from RNAcentral.